RNAcentral lists this ribosomal RNA (1610 nucleotides) under Ceratomyxa sp. r AC-2020. RNAcentral describes it as "SSU rRNA". The record is from RNAcentral. Lineage: Eukaryota; Metazoa; Cnidaria; Myxozoa; Bivalvulida; Ceratomyxidae.
UAGCUGUCUAAUAGACUCUGUAUUAUAGACUUAACGUAUGUCUAAUCGUUUACAGAUCUCUCACUUUACGGGGAGGUAGUGACGAGAAAUAUUGGGGACGCUCCUAGAGAGCGCCAUCCGGAAUGAACGUAACUCAAACAAUUCGAUGAGGAUCUACUGGAGGGCAAGUCUGGUGCCAGCAGCCGCGGUAAUUCCAGCUCCAGUAGUGUAUAUCAACAUUGUUGCGCUUAAAACGCUCGUAGUUGGAUUACAGGACUAUAAACACUAUCGCAUUGGUGCGUAGGUGGCCGUAGCAUGCCCUGUCAAAUGGCCUUUUGCGUUAUGGUUCCCACGACGUAAAAGUGCCGGUUGGCGGGAAGCGUGGCGUAGUCCUUUUGUCGCACUGGUCCCGUAAAGCUCCUUUGACGGUGCUGAGCGGAAACCGGUGGAGUGUGCCUUGAAUAAAGCAUAGUGCUCAAUGCAAGCGUACGCUCGUGUGUAAUAGCAUGGAACGAAUAUGUAUGUCCGGUCGUCGAGCCGUUGUCAUGUGCAAUGUGCAUUGCGUGUGCUGCUGUCCUUACGGCGGUGGUAUAUCGCGGUGUACGCGUGUGUGUGCAGCUGCCGGCGACUAGGUUCGAUCAGUGUUGGUUGGAACCACGGUCUCAACGGUUAAAAGGGACAUCUGAGGGCACUAGUACUUUGUGGCGAGAGGUGAAAUUCUUUAUCGCUCAUUACAGCGAUUCGAAUAUUUCAGCAUUCCAAGAGUGUUUUCAUUAAUCAAGAACGAAGGUCAGAGGAUCGAAGACGAUCAGAUACCGUCCUAGUUUUGACAGAAAACGAUGCCAGCAUAGGGUCGCAGCGGCCGCUCGUAGUUAGCGAGUCGUGCUACUGCGGUCCUUAGGGGAAACUAAGCUUUCGGGCUGCUGGGAGAAUAUCGCUGCAAGGCUGAAAUUUAAAGAAAUUGACGGAGAGGCACCACCAGGAGUGGAGCCUGCGGCUUAAUUUGACUCAACACGGGGAAACUCACCAGGUCCAGACAUUGGUAGGAUUGACAGAUUGGUAGAUUCUUUAUGAUUCGAUGAAWGGUGGUGCAUGGCCGUUUUUAGUUGGUGGAGUGAUUUGUCAGGUUUAUUCCGGUAACGAUUGAGACCCCGGCCUUUAGUUGGUGGUUGGACUGUGACGCAGUGCAAAUGGUAUAGCCUGUGUCGUGUCUGCUAGCCUAACAAGAGGGACCAUCGGUGAAAAGCCGGAGGAAGCGUGGCAAUAACAGGUCUGUGAUGCCCUUCGAUGUCCUGGGCUGCACGCGCGCUACAAUGGCAGCAGUAGAGAGUAGCUGGCCAGAGAUGGAUGGCGAAACUGUAAAUAGCUGUCGUGACAGGGAUUGAGCCUUGUAAUUGUUGCUCAUGAAAGAGGAAUUCCUCGUAAGCACGAGUCAUCAACUUGUGUUGAAUAUGUCUCUGCCUCUUGUACACACCGCCCGUCGCUACUACCGAUUGAAUUGUUUCUAAAGCUGGCUGGACCUCUAGCCUAGACUCUAGACCUUUAGCUACAGAUUGUCUACGCGAAUAGCGUGUCAUUUAAGCUAUGCGACAGUCACUUGCGUGAAUCGAUGACGUCUAGCAUGCUCGCAU